RNAcentral lists this ribosomal RNA (478 nucleotides) under uncultured bacterium. RNAcentral's name for it is "bacterial SSU rRNA". It matches the Rfam family "Bacterial small subunit ribosomal RNA", at positions 29 to 507 of the family's 1533-position model. The record is from RNAcentral.
ACGAACGUUGGCGGCGUGCUUAAUACAUGCAAGUCAACUGAAGCACCGGUAGUAAUACUGGUGUGGAGGUGGCGCACGGUGAGUAACACGUAGGUAAUCUGCCUUCAGGUCUGACAUAACCCCGAGAAAUCGGGGCUAAUAGCAGAUGAUGCAGCGGCUUGACAUCAAGACAGUUGUUAAAGCUUCGGCGCCUGAAGAUGAGCCUGCGUCUGAUUAGCUAGUUGGCGGAGUAAUAGCCCACCAAGGCGACGAUCAGUAGCUGGUCUGAGAGGAUGAUCAGCCACACUGGAACUGAGACACGGUCCAGACUCCUACGGGAGGCAGCAGUAAGGAAUAUUGCUCAAUGGGAGAAAUCCUGAAGCAGCAACGCCGCGUGAGGGAUGAAGGGCUUUUGCUCGUAAACCUCUGUAGUGAGGGAAAAAUUUCCAUUCUAUGGAAUAUGAUGGUACCUCAAAAGUAAGCCCCGGCUAACUACGUG